AUCGGUGAGCCAGUGGUGGUGGCACGGUAUCCAAAACCGAAGUCCGCUGGUUCGACUCCAGCCACCGGUGCCA
RNAcentral lists this transfer RNA (73 nucleotides) under Bradyrhizobium japonicum. RNAcentral describes it as "tRNA-Trp". It matches the Rfam family "tRNA". From Rfam's summary of the family: Transfer RNA (tRNA) molecules are approximately 80 nucleotides in length. Their secondary structure includes four short double-helical elements and three loops (D, anti-codon, and T loops). Lineage: Bacteria; Pseudomonadati; Pseudomonadota; Alphaproteobacteria; Hyphomicrobiales; Nitrobacteraceae. The record is from RNAcentral. RNAcentral also lists the same sequence under 7 other names.